GACGAACGCUGGCGGCGUGCUUAACACAUGCAAGUCGAACGGAAAGGCCCUGCUUUUGUGGGUUGCUCGAGUGGCGAACGGGUGAGUAACACGUGAGUAACCUGCCCUUGACUUUGGGAUAACUUCAGGAAACUGGGGCUAAUACCGGAUAGGAGCUCCUGCUGCAUGGUGGGGGUUGGAAAGUUUCGGCGGUUGGGGAUGGACUCGCGGCUUAUCAGCUUGUUGGUGGGGUAGUGGCUUACCAAGGCUUUGACGGGUAGCCGGCCUGAGAGGGUUACCGGCGUCAUUGGGACUGAGAGACGGACCAGACGCCUACGGGAGGCAGCAGUGGGGAAUAUUACACAAUGGGCGGAAGCCUGAUGCAGCAGCGCCGGGUGCGGGAUGACGGCCUUCGGGUUGUAAACCGCUUUCGCCUGUGACGAAGCGUGAGUGACGGUAAUGGGUAAAGAAGCACCGGCUAACUACGUG
This 468-nucleotide ribosomal RNA is filed under the name uncultured bacterium. RNAcentral describes it as "partial 16S ribosomal RNA". It matches the Rfam family "Bacterial small subunit ribosomal RNA", at positions 28 to 507 of the family's 1533-position model. The record is from RNAcentral.